GUUCCUGUAGUUGAAAUACAACGGUGGUUUUUCGUGCCACUGGUCGUGGUUAAAUUCCAUGUGGGAAUA
RNAcentral lists this transfer RNA (69 nucleotides) under Cryptoprocta ferox (fossa). RNAcentral's name for it is "tRNA-Glu". It matches the Rfam family "tRNA". Rfam says of the family: Transfer RNA (tRNA) molecules are approximately 80 nucleotides in length. Their secondary structure includes four short double-helical elements and three loops (D, anti-codon, and T loops). Lineage: Eukaryota; Metazoa; Chordata; Mammalia; Carnivora; Eupleridae. The record is from RNAcentral.